ACAAUGACAGAGCCCAGAAGGCUUGAAAGUUGUUCCUUGGCAGACGGUGUCCCUAAGUUCCUCCACCAAGAAAGUCCUAUUUGUCAGCCUCUUCAGAUUUAAAGAUGAGACACUUGCUAUAAAAGGACCCCAAAGAAGAAAAUGACUUCAGAUAUUGUCACUGAGCUUGUGGGUUGCUGUUUCCGGAAGAGCAGGAUUAGGAGCUGAAGGCCCUCAUGUACAGCAGAAGGAAGAGAGAAAAUAAGAACAGUGAAGAUUUAUCCCUAUGGAUCAUUUCACCAGGGAUGUCUGCAUGAAUCAACAAGGACUAAAUGAAUAUCAUGAUGACUCACUGAUGGUGUAUCGGAUGGCAAGUGGCCUCCAUUUGUGCUCCAGACCCAGGCUCCACAAAUGGCUGGGGCGGGGCUGCCCUGGGAGCCCACUGCAGCUUGUGUCCCCC
RNAcentral lists this long non-coding RNA (439 nucleotides) under Equus caballus (horse). RNAcentral's name for it is "lncRNA (ENSECAG00000035103.3)". The record is from RNAcentral. Lineage: Eukaryota; Metazoa; Chordata; Mammalia; Perissodactyla; Equidae.